Molecule: long non-coding RNA, 340 nt
Organism: Sinocyclocheilus grahami
Lineage: Eukaryota; Metazoa; Chordata; Actinopteri; Cypriniformes; Cyprinidae
Exons: 3
Source: RefSeq, a predicted model, not a curated record
UCCAGCUGAAGACCAGAGAUUCUCUCUGACUGACAACACGACGGCCAGAGUUUUCACCGUCACCAUCACUGAUCUGAGAACAGAGGAUGCAGGACAAUACUGGUGUGGAGUGGAGAGGACUUUAACUGAUGACUAUUCAGAGAUUUUGUUGCUGGUUAAACACGAUAAUAAGACCACUGCGAUUUCAACCACCAGCCCUUUUACAGCAACACUGUCAUAUUUCAGCAAAACAGAACCACAUCCACAAUCCAGCAGCAUCACAAUCACAGAAAGAAAAGAAACAAUCACAGAUCAGCACAACUCCUCAGCAGGUUCAGUUGUGAUUAUCGUCACUGCGGAG